RNAcentral lists this ribosomal RNA (492 nucleotides) under uncultured bacterium. Its description in RNAcentral is "partial 16S ribosomal RNA". It matches the Rfam family "Bacterial small subunit ribosomal RNA", at positions 29 to 507 of the family's 1533-position model. The record is from RNAcentral.
AGUGAACGCUGGCGGUAGGCCUAACACAUGCAAGUCGAACGGCAGCACAGUAAGAGCUUGCUCUUACGGGUGGCGAGUGGCGGACGGGUGAGGAAUACAUCGGAAUCUACUUUUUCGUGGGGGAUAACGUAGGGAAACUUACGCUAAUACCGCAUACGACCUACGGGUGAAAGCAGGGGAUCUUCGGACCUUGCGCGAUUGAAUGAGCCGAUGUCGGAUUAGCUAGUUGGCGGGGUAAAGGCCCACCAAGGCGACGAUCCGUAGCUGGUCUGAGAGGAUGAUCAGCCACACUGGAACUGAGACACGGUCCAGACUCCUACGGGAGGCAGCAGUGGGGAAUAUUGGACAAUGGGCGCAAGCCUGAUCCAGCCAUACCGCGUGGGUGAAGAAGGCCUUCGGGUGGUAAAGCCCUUUUGUUGGGAAAGAAAAGCAGCAGGUUAAUACCUCGCUGUUCUGACGGUACCUAAAGAAUAAGCACCGGCUAACUUCGUG